CCAAUCCGUCCAGUAGUUUUUGCGUGAAGGAGUAACAAACAUACACACACACACACACACAUACAAACUUUCGGCUUUAUAAUAUUAGUGUGAUAUAACGCUGUCUCGUUUUAACAGUCCUUCGAAAAAGAAUUUAGAAGAAACUUAAGUUUGAGCUAUGUCAAAGUGAUAGAGUAGGUAUAGACCUCAGCCUGAGACGCUGAUAGGCACUGGUAGAUAGCUAACGCAUAGUGCAUUCGUACGUACGACAGGUUGUACCUAUAUACGAUGGACGUCAACAUAGGAGGAAUUAGGACUUGAGCGCAACGCACACCGGCAGAGCCAAGAUGCACCGUCUUUCUUGAUAUCAAUUUAAAGUUUUAUUUACUUUGACAUAACGAGGGAGCGAACGCUAAGUCCAAGCGUGUUCGAGCGUGGCACACGUUUGUGUACUGUAGCUACAUAAACCUACCUACUAACGGAUUGUCAAAGAAAUUAAAAGCUAAGUUGUUAUCAAAUAGACUCGACUCUAUGCCUGUUUGCGCUGUCCCUUAUGAAAAUAAUUACUCGUGAUUUAAUGUAUAAAUUAAAAAGCACAUAUUAAAUAUUACUAAAAAAAUAUAUUUUACAAAAUAUAAUCAAAUUAUCUACAUUAUUGACUUGUGCGAUGAUAAUGGUAAAUAUAUCACAUCACAAUAAACCUAUAAGCAAUCGACUCCUCGUUAUAAAAACGUUUGUUAACGAGGAAUCGUUUGAAUCAUAUGAACAGAGUUAAAUAAAAUUAAUAUAUGUGAUCUCUGCCUCAUACUGAAUACAUGAGCAAUUUCAUUACGUAAGUUUGUAUUCUACAUUUUCUAUAAUAAA
Molecule: long non-coding RNA, 843 nt
Organism: Maniola jurtina (meadow brown)
Lineage: Eukaryota; Metazoa; Arthropoda; Insecta; Lepidoptera; Nymphalidae
Exons: 2
Source: RefSeq, a predicted model, not a curated record